ACCCGCCAACCCGACCCGAAUCCCUUGGGAUCCGCGUGUUUUCAUGGAGUGGUCUAUUUGCAACCCUUGCCCUUCUUCUUUUCAACCUUUUUAAUAUGGUCCUAAUUUUGUUUUUUUCCUUUUUAGAUUGCACCGUUUAAUUUUAAUUUGUUUUCAAUUUAGUCCUUCGUUUGCUGACCUUCUGGGGAAUAACGUGUGUCUUAGGGUUUGGGAUAAUUCCCGAUUUGAGCCCUAUUUAUUUCCGC
Molecule: long non-coding RNA, 245 nt
Filed under: Gossypium barbadense (sea-island cotton)
Lineage: Eukaryota; Viridiplantae; Streptophyta; Magnoliopsida; Malvales; Malvaceae
Description: long non-coding RNA (GBAR_LNC020188)
Source: RNAcentral